GUGCUCACUUUGUCAGCACAAAUACCAAAAUUGAAGCAAUACAGAGGAAGUAAGCAUGACCCCUGCACAAGGAUGACAUGCAAAUUCUGAAGCAUUCCAUACUUUU
This is a small nuclear RNA of Choloepus didactylus (southern two-toed sloth), 106 nucleotides long. The record is from RefSeq and is a predicted model, not a curated record. Lineage: Eukaryota; Metazoa; Chordata; Mammalia; Pilosa; Megalonychidae.